Molecule: long non-coding RNA, 277 nt
Filed under: Pelobates cultripes (western spadefoot toad)
Lineage: Eukaryota; Metazoa; Chordata; Amphibia; Anura; Pelobatidae
Source: RNAcentral
UGUAAUUCUGCUAAACCUUGGGCAACUGGGCUUCUCUUAUUAUGUUUAUAACGGACUUUUAGCGGCCAUCCCUGUAAGGAUAGAGUCCAUGCAGUAAUCCGACUGUUAGAGAGAUUACCGUCUCUAAUUCUUUCACUCUGCAGAUACUGUAGAGGUUGGUGAGCUGUUUCUACAAUUAUUUUCUCACCUUGGAUAUAGCUACGAAAAUUUUGUAGUGCCCAUACAGUCAACAAUAACGCCUUCUCACACGUGUUGAAUUUAACUUCAACAGGUGACA